This is a non-coding RNA of Xylaria telfairii, 97 nucleotides long. NCBI's taxonomy places the organism in Eukaryota, Fungi, Ascomycota, Sordariomycetes, Xylariales, Xylariaceae. The record is from the annotation of a GenBank genome assembly.
GGCCAGGUGGCGGAGUGGUUAACGCGGUAGACUCGAAUACUUCGUUCGAGGCCAUCUACUUCCUUCGGGAGCGUCUGUUCGAAUCAGGCCCUGGUCG